Molecule: long non-coding RNA, 956 nt
Filed under: Helianthus annuus (common sunflower)
Lineage: Eukaryota; Viridiplantae; Streptophyta; Magnoliopsida; Asterales; Asteraceae
Description: hypothetical non coding rna
Source: RNAcentral
UAGGGUUUUGAUUCUGAAUUCUGCUCCCCAAAAUCACUAGAACCAUAAACUUCGCUCCACCAAUAUUGAUCGAAUAAUCCUCCAGGGAAAACCAUCACCGAUGGAAUCAUCCUCCGCUCCACCUCACUGUCAACAAUCUCCACUGAAUCACAUGGCAACGAUUGGACUUUAACAACAAGAACAAAACAAAGAUCGAUCGUUGAGUCCACAAUCUGAGAUCGAUCUAUUCCUUCAGGGUUUUAAUUUCACUAAUAUUUGUUGUGUUUGAUUCUUCGAUCACGGCAGCUCCGUUCUUUUCAACGCCGUUUCAGCCCUUUGUUUAUCAGGCGUUCAACUGUGUGCUAUUUCUAAGACUAUCUGUAGUCACGCGCCCUCGCUUUUUAAGCGCCUUGCGUCUAGGCCCAAGGCUCACCUUUUGCGCCUGUGACAACUAUGAGCCACAUCAGUACCAUGUACUAUCAAAGUGACGAUCUGUCCUGAGUUAACUGCUUACUUGACUGUUGGCUUCUGAUGAUUGGUGCUGGUAUGCGGUCUGCAAGGUUGUGGCAAUUCAGAUGUUUAAUACUUGAGUCUCUAAGUGCAAAUUUGCAUCAUGAGUUAGACUAUCAGCUACUAUGGUUACUAUGAUUGAAAAGUUGAACUAGUUAUCAAGGAGCUCAUUGAAGAAAAGGAUGAAGAAAAAGAAAAAGAAAGGCUAAAUGGAAUUGUUGCAGGGUUGUUGGCUGAAAAAAAAAAAGAUAAGGUGGAUAAAGAUGCUAUACUCGAUACGAUGUCACAAAUUGAAGCUGUGUUAACAAGUACAAUUUGAAGAUAGGUUACAAACACUUGGUUUUGAAUGUUUCGAUGUUUAUCGUAUUAGGAUUUUUUUAGUUAUUUGAUGUUUUAGCUGGUAUUUCUAUUAGAAUGUUUUGUAUGCUUUUGAUACAUAGAUGUUUUAUAUAAUUUUGGGUUUUCGU